UCCCGGCCUGUGAGUCAGUCGCGGACCGGCCGCCUCCAGCUCUCCGUGAUGACUGAGGGCUCGUGCGCCAGCGUCGGCGGCGCGCCGUGCAACACGCUUCGUUUUGAAGUGCUGCAUUUUUAAAGAGCCGCUGUCUCGGGCGGGACAUAACUCGCCCGUGUUCUACAUGCAGCUGAGCCCGGCUCUCUAUUAUGAAUUCCAGUUAACGCUAUCAUUUAGCGCCACCUCCGAGCCGUGCUAUUAAUAUUUAAUUAGUCCGUGAUGAGCCGCAGCUUAUUACUUUGAAAUAUCUGCCGGGUCUUUAUUAAAUUUUUGUCCGUUCGUUAAUAAAAGUUGUUUGGCGAAACUAAAUUUUAAUAAGAGUUAGCGGAAAAUGAAAUCUAUAUUAAGGUUUUAAUAAAACGCGAGUAGACGGAACCGGAGCCGAGUUAAAAUAGCCGUAGUGUUGCUGUUCGUGUGCUCGUCCCUGUCAUAGUUGACCUCACGUUGCUCGUGACUCAAUUUAGAGAAUGUCUACUGUUCAUAUUUCUUUAAAUCGUUUGAGUUCCUGAAUGUUUUGUUUUGUAUUCAAGCUAUUCUUAUUCUAAUAUUUUUUACGACCUUCAUAUGUUUGUGGCAGUCGUCAGUAUUGUCAACUGUGUGUCGUUGCUGUCGUUACUGCAGAGACAACGCCGGAUAGCUUUCCUCUCUAUGAAUUAGUAAUAAUGUUAUAUUGAGCUAGUGAACCAGUCGCUGGAGAUAACGCGAUACACACGGACAUACAGACACACGGGUGGGUAUACACCAUGCGAUCGCUGGCUAGGAAAGUGAAGAAACUAUCGGUAAUAGUAAGUCGUAGACGGACUUAAGAUCGCACUGAUUCCCAUUUUUCGCCUAGCUGUGACAUUCAAACAUAAAUAAGUUGUUUUAUUAAAACAUCGUUUUCACGGAUUUCGAUGUUGCGGCUUCGUGUUUGUUUAUUUGGACAUACAAAUAGAGAGUUGGAAUAUUUCAUGAUUAAAAGAAAAGCGACGUUUACAUUCCGUGGAUGGAAAUGUUGUUCAGUAAAGGGAUCCUCCUCAGUCACAGUGACUAUAAACACAAACCGAGAAGCAAACACACCAGGACAGGAAAAGAAAACCUUGAGUUCAGAUCAUCACCGGAUGGAACAGUCUGUUCGUUACCAGCCUGCUUCCACUGCUAGAGUCUUGUACCAGGUGAAGAAGACGUAUCCGAGUCACCUCCGUCACCUUGUCCAACGUGAUCAGGAACUCAAAGUGUCUGAACUCAAAGCAACUUGCGGACUGACAUCAUUAUUAUAUUUUUA
Danaus plexippus (monarch butterfly) is the source of this 1306-nucleotide long non-coding RNA. RefSeq lists it as uncharacterized. The record is from RefSeq and is a predicted model, not a curated record. The transcript has 3 exons. Lineage: Eukaryota; Metazoa; Arthropoda; Insecta; Lepidoptera; Nymphalidae.